ACAAAAGUGCACAAUUAAAUUAUCGCAACCAUUUCCCCUUGAAAAAAAAUAUUUAUUUCGGACUUAGGAUAAAAUUAUUCAUCCUCCGAAAUAUUCUGGGAUUAAUUAAAUAAUUCUCAACAAUAAAAUUAUCGGUCCAAGUAUUAAUUAAUUUGACCCAAGAUAAUUGUUAUCUUAGCCCACCUUAUUUCUCCAAUUAAAACUUGAGCCCAACACAAAAUAAAAGAGAUCCCAAAACAUAAGUAAAUUUCGAAAUUGGACUUCCCUUCAUUUAUUUACUGCACCCCAAUUGUUAAAAGGAAUUGGGCUCAAAAUUAAAUUCUUCCCCUCCCUUAGCCCAAGUAACUAAUUUAUUAGUCCAACAAAAAACAAAACCCACAUACUCCACCCCCACUAUCGGUUUCUUCCUCUCUCAACACUAUUCACACUUCUUCCCCAAAUUGGACAAAUCUCUCUCUCUUCUUUCCGUCGACCAGCCAUCCCCCGGCGUCGCCGUCGCCGUCGCUCCUCUCUCCACUCUCUCCCUCUUAUCUCCUCUCUCAGCCUCACGCCGUCGCUCGCCACCCCCCUCCGCUGGUCCAGAUUCGUCGCACCGCCACCACCGCUGCGGGUCUGCCGACGCCGUGGGUUCGCGCCCCGCCGUCACCGAGGAUCUCCCCCCCCAGCCGCCGACGCCGAUUUGCUGCCGUUUCAGAUCAGCCGCCGCUACCGGAGUUGUCCGUCAGUUUUGGCAGCUCCGUUUCCACCCCCGAAACAACUCCGAUUAACUCCGCAGAUGAGGAAGAAACUCGAUUCAAGCUCGUGGCUGUCCGCGUUAAAGUACCCGAUUUUCUUAGAACGCAUGAUGCAUAGAUUAAAUUUUGUUUGACUUUUGUUGAAUGUAUCGGACAUUAAAAUUUUGAUUUUUGGAUCUUAUUUAUUUAUUUAUUUAAAUUUAUUAUACUCA
Molecule: long non-coding RNA, 946 nt
Organism: Salvia splendens (bonfire salvia)
Lineage: Eukaryota; Viridiplantae; Streptophyta; Magnoliopsida; Lamiales; Lamiaceae
Exons: 2
Source: RefSeq, a predicted model, not a curated record